CAAGAUUAAGCCAUGCAUGUCUGAGUACAGACCGAUUAUAAAAAGGUGAAACCGCAGACGGCUCAUUAAAUCAGUCGUAAUCCACUGGAGCUCGAACCAGACUUACUUGGAUAACCGUGGUAAUUCUAGGGCUAAUACACGCAACCGAGCCCCGACUCUGCUUCGGUGGAGGCAAGGGCGCCUUUAUUAGCACCCCAAAUCGAUCUCCGUCGCGUCACUUCACUGUCUUUUUGUCCUUUGGGGCGUUGAGUUCAGUGAAGACGCACGGGUCAUGGUGAAUCCUGGAUAACCUAGCCGAGCGUUUUGGUUUCACGUUCGUCGUGGCCGGCGCCGCAUCCUUCGAGCGACUGCCUUAUCAGCUAUACCGUAAGGUAUUGGCUAACGGUGGCUGUUACGGGUAACGGGGAAUUAGGGUUCGAUUCCGGAGAGGGAGCCUGAGAAACGGCUACCACAUCCAAGGAAG
Molecule: ribosomal RNA, 463 nt
Filed under: Iphinoe trispinosa
Lineage: Eukaryota; Metazoa; Arthropoda; Malacostraca; Cumacea; Bodotriidae
Description: partial 18S small subunit ribosomal RNA
Rfam family: Eukaryotic small subunit ribosomal RNA
Source: RNAcentral